GUGGAUGUCAAUGAUGAAGAACGUGGACCGGUUCAUGGAGCUUCUGCAACCAUCAAUAUAUACAAUCCAACUGUAGAACCUUCACAGUUUACGAAUGCUCAAAUUUGGAUUAAUGGUGGUCCAAAUGAAACUCCUAAUUAUAUAAUGGUUGGAUGGACGGUUAAUCCAGGCUUAUACGGUGAUCAUCUUACUCGGUUGUUUACAUUUUGGACGGGUGAUAACUAUAAGAAUGGGUGCUACAAUACUCUUUGUACGGGUUUUGUACAAGUUGACAGCUCAGUGACUCCAAGUGAUACUAUAUCUCCAGUUUCUAUAGCUGGUGGA
Telopea speciosissima is the source of this 324-nucleotide long non-coding RNA. RefSeq lists it as uncharacterized. The record is from RefSeq and is a predicted model, not a curated record. NCBI's taxonomy places the organism in Eukaryota, Viridiplantae, Streptophyta, Magnoliopsida, Proteales, Proteaceae. The transcript is spliced from 3 exons.